Molecule: ribosomal RNA, 423 nt
Filed under: uncultured archaeon
Lineage: Archaea
Description: partial 16S ribosomal RNA
Rfam family: Archaeal small subunit ribosomal RNA
Source: RNAcentral
CUACGGGUUGCUCCAGCUAAGGAUCUUUUACAAUGUACGCAAGUAUGAUAAAGCGAGCCAGAGUGUUUCUUAUAAUUAAGAAACUUUUGUUUGUUGUAAAAAGACAGACGAAUAAGGACUGGGAGAGACCGGUGCCAGCCGCCGCGGUAAUACCGGCGGUCCAAGUCGCAGCCACAAUUAUUAGGUCUAAAACAUCCGUAGCCUGCUAAGUAAGUUUCUUGUGAAAUCUUAUCUCUUAAGGGUAAGGCGUGCAAGAAAUACUGCUAAGCUAGAGACUGGAAGAAGUGGAGAGUACUGUUGAGGUAGUGGUAAAAUAUGUUAAUCUCAAUUGGACUAACAAUAGCGAAGGCACUCCACUAGUACAGAUCUGACAGUAAGGGAUGAAGGCCAGGGUCGCAAAAGGGAUUAGAUACCCGGGUAGUC